Molecule: long non-coding RNA, 929 nt
Organism: Crotalus tigris (Tiger rattlesnake)
Lineage: Eukaryota; Metazoa; Chordata; Lepidosauria; Squamata; Viperidae
Exons: 3
Source: RefSeq, a predicted model, not a curated record
UCAAAAUAAGGAAGCAGAUCUGGUCCAGAAAACUAGAAGUGAAGGCCUAUAUAUAAUAGAAUAGAGAAGGGAGAGCCUGUUGGGUCUAUUGGUUAAGGCACCGGGUUAGAAAACGGGAGCUGGUGAGUUCUUCCUGCAUUAGGAGUGAAAGCUGGCUGGGUGACUUUGAGCCAACCACCAGGAGACAAGGAACGAUCGCCGUUGUCUCUCUCUGUGUGUGUUUGGGCUACAGAGGAGAGGAACCGAGCAGACCCCUGCUUCUUCCCUUCAGGUAUCCACCAGAUGGUCGCUGCCAGUUUCCGGCACUCUCGAGACAACACUCGCGCACAAAAAGAAAUUCUGGCCGGCUGCCUCGAUAGCCAUUAUCAUCUUGCUUGCUCUGGACACGCAGAGGCACAAAGGAAGGGAAUGAGAGGCUGUCUCCAGCCAAAAAAGGACUCCCGGACCGUCCCCAUCCAUCCGAGAGGGACUUAAGAGAGCGCGCUGGCUGGCGGGCCAACUUGGUUGAGACCGGGAUAAUAAAAACCACAAGUGGGUUUCAUUUAAAAAAAGCAGAGCCAAAUGGAGGUGCGCUGCCUGCCGCUGACAAUCUUGCCUGAAAAGCUGUUGGCCGAAAGCCAUUUCGACAUCCUCGGUGUUAAAAGAUAAGAGCGGAGCAAAAACUCGCAACAUGUUGAACAGCCGCGGAUUUCAGAGGACGGCUCGGCAAUUGCCCAUCGAGGAGAAAAGGUCAAGCGCAAAGAAUCAGGUGCAUCGGUUAGGUUGCCGCGUCGGUUUACAGCUAGUCCCCGGCGCACAGCUACAACUGAGCCCAAAAUUGUCAUUGCUAAAUGGGGGGUUUUUUUGCUCCAUUUUAUGACCUUCUUGCCACAAUGGUUAAGCCAGUGGUUCUCAACCUUUUUAAUGUUGCGAUCCCCAACUGGUCGUAA